RNAcentral lists this ribosomal RNA (430 nucleotides) under uncultured Syntrophobacteraceae bacterium. RNAcentral describes it as "bacterial SSU rRNA". It matches the Rfam family "Bacterial small subunit ribosomal RNA", at positions 355 to 776 of the family's 1533-position model. Lineage: Bacteria; Pseudomonadati; Thermodesulfobacteriota; Syntrophobacteria; Syntrophobacterales; Syntrophobacteraceae. The record is from RNAcentral.
UGGGGAAUAUUGCGCAAUGGGCGAAAGCCUGACGCAGCGACGCCGCGUGGGUGAUGAAGGCCUUCGGGUCGUAAAGCCCUGUCGGGAGGGAAGAAAUCUCGGUAACCCAAUACGUUGCCGACUUGACGGUACCUCCUAAGGAAGCACCGGCUAACUCCGUGCCAGCAGCCGCGGUAAUACGGAGGGUGCGAGCGUUGUUCGGAAUCACUGGGCGUAAAGCGCGUGUAGGCGGCCUCUUAAGUUUGGUGUGAAAGCCCGGGGCUUACCCUCGGAAGUGCAUCGGAUACUGGGAGGCUCGAGUACCGGAGAGGAGGGUGGAAUUCCUGGUGUAGCGGUGAAAUGCGUAGAUAUCAGGAGGAACACCGGCGGCGAAGGCGGCCCUCUGGACGGAUACUGACGCUGAGACGCGAAAGCGUGGGGAGCAAACAGG